This 512-nucleotide long non-coding RNA is filed under the name Phoenix dactylifera (date palm). RNAcentral describes it as "long non-coding RNA (PDAC_LNC021148)". Lineage: Eukaryota; Viridiplantae; Streptophyta; Magnoliopsida; Arecales; Arecaceae. The record is from RNAcentral.
UAGCUGCCACGAGCUUAUGCGUGGGAUUUGUACAGUCUUGGACUGGGUCAUGAACCUGGUUAGUCCAACGCCAGAAGUAAGAAGUCUGAAGACUUGGGAAUCAGAGUAAUACGUGAAUGAAUCACGAAAUGUGAAAAAGGAUUUAUGUAUACAAAAUGGUUUGUGUAUAUAUUUGUUAUUUGUUGAGCCUUUGAAAUGAUGAAAUGACAUAUAUUUUGAUGCAUUGAUUAUUUUAUGAUUUUUACUGUGUGUGGCUGUUGGGAUUCUUACUGGGCUGGAAAAGCUCAUACUACUCUUACUUUCUUUUUCAGAGGCACUGAAUUUGUAGAGUCCAUCGGGUGGGACGAGAAAUGAGAUCGACAAGGAGUCUGACUGCUAGAUAGUAGAAGCAGCAUAUCUUUUAUUGAUGGACAUUUGAAAUUAUGUAAGAAAUCAGUACAUUUUAGUUGGUUUAGUUUGAAUACAUUAAUUAUGGAUUUAUUGAAAAUUUUUGUGUAUCUUAGGCCUUGCAU